UUCCAAUUUAUGAUAAGGGAAUCACGGACACUCUCUGCAGUUGCAAAGUAAGCCUUACUGGGCUCAAAUUUCUCAGGAGAAAAAGAUGUGGUGAACUCAGCAUGAUAUUUUAUGCUUGAAGCUACAGAUGCAGAAUCUGUAACAAAUUCAUUUGAAGUGCAACCUUGUUUGAUGAGUCGUUCUUUCAGUUCCGCUGUUUUGUCGCUGGCAACAUUCUUUACAUAGAGCUUUCUAAUUGCUCUUCUGGAAUUUGACUUUGUGAUGACAAACAACUGCCAAAUAUUAUUUCUUUGACCGAGACCUGUAAAGUUUGAUUUGGAAUGGGGAUGUAAAGGUGAGUUUGAAUGCCUGCAGGUUGUUGAGAAUGGUAGAGCAGACAUUGCUGCUAGUUUUUCUUGUAAAGUAUGAUGUGUCAGAGGAGCAGUAUUCCACAGAACAGAAAUAAUGUAUGUUAUUUUGAGUAGU
Molecule: long non-coding RNA, 465 nt
Filed under: Medicago truncatula (barrel medic)
Lineage: Eukaryota; Viridiplantae; Streptophyta; Magnoliopsida; Fabales; Fabaceae
Description: lncRNA gene24561
Source: RNAcentral